Molecule: unclassified non-coding RNA, 1093 nt
Filed under: Hevea brasiliensis (rubber tree)
Lineage: Eukaryota; Viridiplantae; Streptophyta; Magnoliopsida; Malpighiales; Euphorbiaceae
Source: RNAcentral
GUUAUUGGUAAUUUUUUUUUUUUUGGCACACUAUUAACCUUACAGUUGGUAUGUCAAAUUCAGAAUGACUGCUUAUUCAAUUGCAGCUGAGGAGAUUUUACUUUGUUCCGUAUGUGAAAUCUAAGUACUGGUUCAAUUGUUCGUUAAGAUUGUGUUUGAAAACCCUAAUAAUUCAAGAAUUCAAUUGAAUUGAAUUCUUUUUGGGAAUUCUCAUGUUUGGAAAACUUAUGAUUGCUAAAAUUCAAUUCUUUCAAGUUGAAAACAAGUAAUUUUGAAAGAAAUAGAAAUCAGCCUUAAAGAGGUAUGAUUUUGAAGGUGUCCACUAUUGAAAACCCUAGAUAUUUCCAUUGAAAAUAAAUUUUGACUCUUAUCACUGAAAUUUAUUCCAAAACAAAAAUUUGGGGUAUGAAUUUUUCAAAUAGGUUUAAAUGGAAUUUUAUCUGGUGCUACAUAGUCUGUUAGGAAAAGAGAGAUGAUGAGUGUCAAUUGCAUAUUUGUGGGGAAGUCUGCCAAGUUCACCAUGUCAAGCAUAUCAAGCAGCUUCACCCUGUCUUCAUUCUGUAUGUAAGUAGGGAAGUCUAAUUUUUCAAAUCAAUUAAAAUCCUCUCUAUAUAGCUAGUGUCAAUACACUGAAAAACAAAAACCAAGACACUGAAGCAUAGAUCGCAUAUCUUUCCUCAAAGGUAAUAAAAGUUGGGGGUGGGGGAGAAAGCACUGUGCAUAUUUCUCACAAGAUGUCCUUCCGCAACAGAGAUGAAUCACAUGUAUUAUCUUGUUUAUUUUGGUGUCCUAGUGAAUUAUGUGGUUAAAUUCAGCAUAACUUUAAGGUUGUUUUGAAGUUACAAUACCAAGACAAAGCUUUGUUUGUGUACAUUUUUAUGGUAAUACAAAUGUAGAACUUACUUGGAUAUGAUUGAGCUGAAACUGUAAAUGUCUAUACUCUUCGCUACCAACUUGUGAUUUUCCAUUUCUCAUUUAUGUUUAGUGUGUAUGAAUAAAGUGCCAAUGUACUCUCUUUUAUAUUUUUUUGGACUACUUGAUACUUGUAUUUUCUGGUUUAUUUAUAUUUUAUUCAUGUACUCUUUUACUACAU